RNAcentral lists this ribosomal RNA (1131 nucleotides) under Bifidobacterium longum. RNAcentral's name for it is "bacterial SSU rRNA". It matches the Rfam family "Bacterial small subunit ribosomal RNA", at positions 23 to 1165 of the family's 1533-position model. Lineage: Bacteria; Bacillati; Actinomycetota; Actinomycetes; Bifidobacteriales; Bifidobacteriaceae. The record is from RNAcentral.
CUCAGGAUGAACGCUGGCGGCGUGCUUAACACAUGCAAGUCGAACGGGAUCCAUCAAGCUUGCUUGGUGGUGAGAGUGGCGAACGGGUGAGUAAUGCGUGACCGACCUGCCCCAUACACCGGAAUAGCUCCUGGAAACGGGUGGUAAUGCCGGAUGUUCCAGUUGAUCGCAUGGUCUUCUGGGAAAGCUUUCGCGGUAUGGGAUGGGGUCGCGUCCUAUCAGCUUGACGGCGGGGUAACGGCCCACCGUGGCUUCGACGGGUAGCCGGCCUGAGAGGGCGACCGGCCACAUUGGGACUGAGAUACGGCCCAGACUCCUACGGGAGGCAGCAGUGGGGAAUAUUGCACAAUGGGCGCAAGCCUGAUGCAGCGACGCCGCGUGAGGGAUGGAGGCCUUCGGGUUGUAAACCUCUUUUAUCGGGGAGCAAGCGUGAGUGAGUUUACCCGUUGAAUAAGCACCGGCUAACUACGUGCCAGCAGCCGCGGUAAUACGUAGGGUGCAAGCGUUAUCCGGAAUUAUUGGGCGUAAAGGGCUCGUAGGCGGUUCGUCGCGUCCGGUGUGAAAGUCCAUCGCUUAACGGUGGAUCCGCGCCGGGUACGGGCGGGCUUGAGUGCGGUAGGGGAGACUGGAAUUCCCGGUGUAACGGUGGAAUGUGUAGAUAUCGGGAAGAACACCAAUGGCGAAGGCAGGUCUCUGGGCCGUUACUGACGCUGAGGAGCGAAAGCGUGGGGAGCGAACAGGAUUAGAUACCCUGGUAGUCCACGCCGUAAACGGUGGAUGCUGGAUGUGGGGCCCGUUCCACGGGUUCCGUGUCGGAGCUAACGCGUUAAGCAUCCCGCCUGGGGAGUACGGCCGCAAGGCUAAAACUCAAAGAAAUUGACGGGGGCCCGCACAAGCGGCGGAGCAGGCGGAUUAAUUCGAUGCAACGCGAAGAACCUUACCUGGGCUUGACAUGUUCCCAACAAUCCCAAAAAUGGGGUUUCCCUUCGGGGCGGGUUCACAGGUGGUGCAGGGUCGUCGUCAGCUCGUGUCGUGAGAUGUUGGGUUAAGUCCCGCAACGAGCGCAACCCUCGCCCCGUGUUGCCAGCGAAUUGUGCCGGGAACUCACGGGGGACCGCCGGGGUUAACUCG